UACGUAGGUGACAAGCGUUGUCCGGAUUUACUGGGCGUAAAGAGCGCGCAGGCGGUCGAUCAAGUCGAGUGUGAAAGCCCCCGGCUCAACUGGGGAGGGUCAUUCGAUACUGAUCGACUCGAAGGCAGGAGAGGGUAGUGGAAUUCCCGGUGUAGUGGUGAAAUGCGUAGAUAUCGGGAGGAACACCAGUGGCGAAGGCGGUUCUCUGGGCAUUACCUGACGCUGAGGAGCGAAAGUGUGGGGAGCGAACAGG
This 253-nucleotide ribosomal RNA is filed under the name uncultured bacterium. RNAcentral describes it as "partial 16S ribosomal RNA". It matches the Rfam family "Bacterial small subunit ribosomal RNA", at positions 524 to 776 of the family's 1533-position model. The record is from RNAcentral.